Molecule: ribosomal RNA, 466 nt
Filed under: uncultured bacterium
Lineage: Bacteria
Description: partial 16S ribosomal RNA
Rfam family: Bacterial small subunit ribosomal RNA
Source: RNAcentral
GAUGAACGCUGGCGGCGUGCUUAACACAUGCAAGUCGAACGGUGAAAGAGAGCUUGCUCUCUGGAUCAGUGGCGAACGGGUGAGUAACACGUGAGCAAUCUGCCCCUGACUCUGGGAUAAGCGCUGGAAACGGCGUCUAAUACCGGAUACGAGCUGCGAAGGCAUCUUCAGCAGCUGGAAAGAACUUCGGUCAGGGAUGAGCUCGCGGCCUAUCAGCUAGUUGGUGAGGUAACGGCUCACCAAGGCGUCGACGGGUAGCCGGCCUGAGAGGGUGACCGGCCACACUGGGACUGAGAAACGGCCCAGACUCCUACGGGAGGCAGCAGUGGGGAAUAUUGCACAAUGGGCGAAAGCCUGAUGCAGCAACGCCGCGUGAGGGACGACGGCCUUCGGGUUGUAAACCUCUUUUAGCAGGGAAGAAGCGAAAGUGACGGUACCUGCAGAAAAAGCGCCGGCUAACUACGUG